AUGUCAUCCGAUGAAGGGGAGCACAAUAGUCCAGUUUUACCAAGAGAUUCAGACCGAGGCAGCUCCGUUUCCUCUGUGCUUCAGGACGAGUAUGAAGAACUUCUUCGAUAUGCUGUCGUGACUCCUAAAUAUGAACCGAGUUUCCCAUCACAGCCGUUGAGCUCAACUCAACUCUCCAAGAGUUUACAGCAUACGACUAAAAGAGAAACACCUGCUCAACACACUGCAGAUAAUGAAGUGCACUCAAACAACGGGGCUAUGCCAACUCCGUCAUUAGAAGAAUCCAGACCACAAAGUCGAACAUCCGAGGGUAACUUCAUGAAGCCAUUUAAAUUAGAAUCUCUCAGCCCUCUUGCUUUUGUGAGGCUUUCAAAUUUGUCUUUGACAAUGUCAUGACAAAACGACUGAGAACCACUCUUUGUUUUAUUUCAGAUAAUGAAGUGCACUCAAACAACGGGGCUAUGCCAACUCCGUCAUUAGAAGAAUCCAGACCACAAAGUCGAACAUCCGAGGGUAACUUCAUGAAGCCAUUUAAAUUAGAAUCUCUCAGCCCUCUUGCUUUCAAAUGUGUCUCAUCCAAUCAGAAUCUAGAACUAUGUGUUUUAUAAUAUUG
This 613-nucleotide long non-coding RNA is filed under the name Sinocyclocheilus grahami. RNAcentral's name for it is "lncRNA (ENSSGRG00000025783.1)". The record is from RNAcentral. Lineage: Eukaryota; Metazoa; Chordata; Actinopteri; Cypriniformes; Cyprinidae.